GACGAACGCUGGCGGCGUGCUUAACACAUGCAAGUCGAACGGAAAGGCCCUGCUUGCAGGGUACUCGAGUGGCGAACGGUUGAGUAACACGUGGGUGCUCUGCCCUGCACUUCGGGAUAAGCCUGGGAAACUGGGUCUAAUACCGGCUAGGAGCCAUUGUUGUUGUGAUGGUUGGAAAGUUUUUUCGGUGUCGGAUGAGCUCGCGGCCUAUCAGCUUGUUGGUGGGGGAAUGGCCUACCAAGGCGGCGACGGGUAGCCGGCCUGAGAGGGUGGACGGCCACAUUGGGACUGAGAUACGGCCCAGACUCCUACGGGAGGCAGCAGUGGGGAAUAUUGCACAAUGGGCGCAAGCCUGAUGCAGCGACGCCGCGUGGGGGAUGACGGCCUUCGGGUUGUAAACUCCUUUCGCUAGGGACGAAGCUUUUUGCGACGGUACCUAGAUAAGAAGCACCGGCUAACUACGUG
This 465-nucleotide ribosomal RNA is filed under the name uncultured bacterium. RNAcentral's name for it is "partial 16S ribosomal RNA". It matches the Rfam family "Bacterial small subunit ribosomal RNA", at positions 28 to 507 of the family's 1533-position model. The record is from RNAcentral.